Molecule: long non-coding RNA, 1688 nt
Filed under: Canis lupus familiaris (dog)
Lineage: Eukaryota; Metazoa; Chordata; Mammalia; Carnivora; Canidae
Description: lncRNA (ENSCAFG00000050849.1)
Source: RNAcentral
UUCAAAUACCAUUUAUGCAUUCUUAUGUUAAGAUGUGAUGCAGUCCCUCUAACUGGAUUGCUAAGGGCACCUCAUGCUGUAUUUCUUUGUAAGUGCCAUGGUACCGUCCAUGACGCUUUGUCUACCACCAAGCAGCUGGAGUUACAAACACUGGAAACUCUCAGAGGAAGGCCGAGUGUCCCAGUGUGCCCAGAAGAGGGCAUAUCAGGUAAGCUGUGAGGCAGCCAGCUCUGGAGACCAAGAAGUCCACUUCACAAAAGGUCGAAUUGGCCUUGAUACAUCCUUUUCCCGGGGACCACUCACGGCAGAGUGGAACUGAGUAGGGAGAUCCCCUUGGCUGCUUAAUCCACUUGCAAUGCUAAAAAAGUUAGGGAAUCUUAGGGUUUAAAUUCUGCAUGAUAUUCCUGUUUGCCACCAGUCAUCAGUGAAUACUGCAUUGUUUGCCCAUAAUGACUCACCUCAACAGACAGUGUGCCUGAAAGUAAAACAGAGGGAGAGAGACCAGAGAGCAAGGGUGGUGGUAGUUCACUGAGUUCAACACACCUCAAACACGCAGCGCUCCUGUGUCAUAAUGGAAACAUCAAUCUUGAAAGAAUUACAUCAGUCUCAGAAGACACCCGUUGCCAGGAAGAACGCCGCACCACAGAGCCAGUCAGCAGGGCUGGUUCUACUUAUCUCCGAAGAUCAAACACACAGGAACACUGGAAUCGUCCACAGAGGGCCUCUAAUGAGCCGCGCCUCGUGUGGAGAUUGACAAGACAAGGCCCAAAGUUUUUCAUCGAUAAAAGUUGAACAAGAACAGGCAGCUCCUGCUUCCCUCGACCUCAGUUCUGCUUUAGCAGAAAAACACCCGAUGCUGAUAUUUUCCAUAAGCAGCCAGAAGUCAUGUGUAAAGCUGCAGCACAAAAUGGAUGGAGCCUUCGGGGGCCUGGGGUGCCCACAGAGCAUCACCGCAAAGGCAGAGGGUGCAGAGUAUGCAGACAGGUACAUGCACACCAACACAGAAGAAUCAGAGCGAUCACUGUGUUAGCCAAAAGAAUCGAAUAUCCACACUGGCAGCGCAUGAAACAAGGUAAGAGCAAGCCUAGAGUUUCUCAUUGUGAGCGGGCGUGUGCAUCAGCAUGCAUGCACAAGUGUGUGUGUGCAUGCGCUCGUGAGCCCAUACACCUAUGUGCGUGUGCCAGCUGCCGGUGGCACUCUUCCUGCUCCCCUUAUCUGGAGGACAUUUGAGAAGAUAUCUUUGAACAUCGUUGUCUUAAAGGAUUUUAUUUAUUAAAUAAUUCACUAGCCUUUCCUCCUGGAAAAAUUUCCAACUAUAACAGAAAGAAAGCCAAGAGAGAAGAAUGUUUAUGGCAAGGAGGGGCUCUGAAAUAUCUUUACUUCUAGAUUCUUUAUUAGGUAAAACUAUGUCACACCACCAUUCCUGUUGGAAACUGUUCAUUUAAUUUCCCUCUUUUGUAGAUAUUUUGUUUUCCCCUAAAUGUCAGUGCUUGCUGGGGGAAAAAUAUUUUUAGUUGUUUCUCGUAGAGCUUCUUGCAGAAUGCCUCCACCUGCUGGAAAGAUGUGAGCAUCUUUGUUAAGAGCAGCUGAGGCACUGUGCAUCGGGGAUGCCUAUUUUCAUAUCACAGGGGAAAAUAGAAAUUGUAAAUGUGUAGAAUAGAUGUUUAUUGAUAAACAUCACAUGUAAA